AUCCACAGUUUUGAUGACAGUUAUGUGACAGGCAGCUACACAGGAGGAGCAGAACAUUUAGCGCACGGUGUCCUACGGAGCAACAGCUGCCAGUCAGACAGCAGUGGCUUUCUAGAGGAGCCAUUCGUCCCCCUUCUCAUCAAGCAGGCGUCACCAGGAGCCGACCUCAUCCAGGUCUCACAAGUACACACUCAGACCCCCUGUAUGCAAAUGAUCCACACUGGCUGGGUGAGAGACAUAAUAGAUCUGUGUCCUCUGUUUGGUUCCAGGCUCUGUCCGGCCUGUCCGGGGACACUGAGACGCCACCCCCCCAUACCCCUGCAUCUCUCACCUCGUCUGCUGUUGACUCGCCCAGUCUUUCACCAAAGCCUUCAUUAGACUUUGACCCCUCCCCAUGUCCAUUCUCCUUGUGUCUCCCAAACUCUGACCAGCACAAUUCAGAGAGGGAAACACAACCAGAACCGGAUCAGUCUCCAGCUGCUUCACUCUCCACGUCGGUGUGUGAGUACUCUCAAGAGCUUGCAAUGCCUGCUGCUUCUGUCCUGACUGAGGACAAGGAGACACUGUCCUCCCACGUCCCUGCUGUACUGCACGGCUCCGAAGGCCCAGCAUGCUCUCCCUGUCCAAGUGUUGCUCCUCUUGCCUCAUAUCCUUUUCCUUCUCCAAAUUUGGAUCGUCCGUUUUCCCUGUCAACCGUUACGUCUUGCACGCGGUCGGCCUCCUCUUCCAGGAGUCCAGGCGACCCUCAUUCAGAACAGACUGGAGUGGCUCUGCACAGAAACUCAUCAUCGCUAUCAUCUCAGCUUCAGCCAUCUGCCCCCCAUGAUUUUCAUUGUCCCACCCCACUAAAAGAGACCCUCUCGCAAGAUGCGGAUGCGGAAAAGCAUCAUAGGGAUUCCGUGUUGGAAGACUCCGAAGCAAUAGGCCUCUCUGAUCCAUCUACCAGUUCACAGAAGGAUGAGGAAGAAACACCCUCCUCUCUCUCCUUCCAGUUGGAAAAAGACAACGUCUCUGCUUCAUCCUCUCUCAUUCUGGUGUCCUCUGAGGACCCUUCCUUUCCAGUUGGUCAUCCUGCCUUGCAGUCUCAUUUAGGUGAUCCGGAGGGUCUGAUCGAUCCAGCUGCUGCAGGAACCUCAGACCUUUCAGCGCUGUCCACCUGCCGACGUGAUAUUAGCACAGAGCCUGCUCCGACUCCCCGAGCCCAAGACAUGAUUCAUGAUACAAUGAAUCUCUUCUUCUUGGACUUUGAAGACACCGACCAGAGGUGUGGAAAGGGAGCAGCAGGGGCUGAAAGGCUCACUGACACUGUGCAGACGCAGAAGAAUGUUGUUUACAUCUCAGAUACAGAGAGUUCUGGGGGCCUGUCACAAGGUUGUAGAGUAGUCUCUGAGGAAGUAUGUAACCAAACAGAAAUAGAUCCACAGCUCCUAUCAACUGGAACCCAACCGGAACAUUGUCAGGGAGGAGGUAUUGGCUCGGAAAACAAAUCACUCAGCAGUUCUUUGAUUUUACAUAAUUGUAGAGCUGAAGUUCAACCAAAGGAUCUAAUCAAGGUUGAGAGCUUAGAUGAGAUCUUCCAGACCUCCGUGGAUAGUUCUGAAGGUGACACUGGAGAUGUGGAUGCCUUUUUUCAGCAGCUUGAUACUGAAGGACGAGCCUAUUGGGCAGAACCCAUCCAGGUUUCAAAUCCGAGUCCUGUACUCGAAGAGUCAGUCAGCGUCGAAAGCUCAGGCGGAUCUCCUGGGAGUUCUCCGUUGCCUAGUGGCCCAGCUCUUCUGGACCUGAUGCCCUCCACCGGCAGAGCUAUGCUUUUGUCUCCGUCAUCCUCAACAACGAUGGACACUGACCAGAUGUCAAGAAAUAAAGCCGCCUCCCCAGUGGCCCCAGCUCCGGUCCCGACCCCCUCCUUAAGCCCAGACCUCAAGACAUCUAGCCGCUCCGUUUCUGUCCAGAUGUCUUCUUCCCCAUCGUCUCAUAUAGUCCAGCGGAAGGACGUUCCCUAUAUUACGGACUCUAAACGCACGCUUCUGUCUAGUUUCCUCUCUUUGGACACGUCCACCCCUUUCCGUGCUGUGCAGUCAUGGACUGACCUUCAGAUCCAGCGAAGCCCUCUCACCACCAACUUCUCUCAGUGGGGCCUUCAUACUUCCCCAAAGGAUGUAACCGUAUGCACUAGUGCCACAGAAACAUCACAUGACUGUGAGCAGACUGAACAUCAGCACACCACGUCGCUCUCUGUGGACAAAGGGCUGUGGCUUGAUGAGGAGGUGGACAGGAACGGAUAUGAAGAAGAGGGCAAGCUCUGGCGGGAGGAUCACAGGGCCACCACGUCGUGUUGCUGCUCCUGUGACCAUCAGUGUAACGGCGCCACUCAGAAGAGAGACAACAUUCCUUUCUCCCUGGAUGAGCUGGAGGAGAUGAUGCAGUGUCUGCAGCACUUCUGCUCUGUUCUCAGCGACAUGGAGGAGCAGCUCUCUGAGGACCAGGCGGCGGUUUACGGCGCCCUCUCUGACCCGGACAGGGAGAUGGUCCAGGACGUAGAGGAGCUGAGGCGGGCAGUGAAGCAGGAGGCUGGACAGCUGGAGAUGCAGUUGAAUGAACUGGCCGAUCAUUAUGAUGACAACUUGAAAAGGAAGAUGCACAGGCUGUUGGAUGAGCAGUCUCUCCUCUGCUCUCAACUCAAAGUCUCUCUACCUGGGGCGGGGCCCACGGCGCAGAGACCCGCCCCCAAGCGGACAGCUGCCACUCAGUGCUGUCCAGUGGAGGAGCAGCGCGGCCCCCCGUCCGCCUGGAGGGGCUGGGAUGUGAGCUCCCUCCUCCAGUCAAAGUGCAUCUGUGAGGCCCGGGGCAAGAAGGACCAGCUGGACAUGAUGGCUGUCCUCCAGAGAUUGAAGGAGUCUUUGCAUCAUUCUGUGAACACAGACUAAUAAAAGGUGAGGUUUUUUGUAAUAUGAAUUAAUGAUCAUUGUUGAAGUCUACUGUUCAGUAAACUUGUGUGUUAAAAAACAUACAUAAAGUUAAUAACUCUCCCUUCAAACUCAAAGAGUCCUAAAAAUCUUAAAUGCAGAAGCAAUAUUCCAAAGGAGUCUUCUGAUGGUCUUUGCUUGGUGGGGCUGUGGGCGCAUCCCAGUUAGCUCCUUCCAACCAAUCCCCAAUAAAAAGGCCUCAUCCUGCUCCUGUGGUUAUUUAAAGGUGUGUGCAGUACCUGUAGUACGUGUAGUACAUGUUCUCGGUACUCUGUACCUUCCUUGCCUCAGCCCUGUGGAGUGACUGUUAGUGACUUGCUGCUUGUUGUUUGGCCUCUGCUUUCAUUUAUAGUGGUGAAUCAACAGGGUUUGUUCAGUUUAUUUUCGCUCGGUAGAGUCCAAGCUCCUGUGUUGGCUCCCCACCCCUGAUG
Gasterosteus aculeatus (three-spined stickleback) is the source of this 3397-nucleotide long non-coding RNA. The record is from Ensembl. Lineage: Eukaryota; Metazoa; Chordata; Actinopteri; Perciformes; Gasterosteidae.